Molecule: transfer RNA, 74 nt
Filed under: Spirochaetia bacterium
Lineage: Bacteria; Pseudomonadati; Spirochaetota; Spirochaetia
Description: tRNA-Arg
Rfam family: tRNA
About the family: Transfer RNA (tRNA) molecules are approximately 80 nucleotides in length. Their secondary structure includes four short double-helical elements and three loops (D, anti-codon, and T loops).
Source: RNAcentral
GCGCCCAUAGCUCAAUUGGAUAGAGUGUUGGCCUCCGGAGCCAAAGGUUGCAGGUUCGAUUCCCGCUGGGCGCA